GAUCGUUUUUGGAAGGGCGUGCGAGUACUGUACGAGGGCGGACUACCUUGAUAAAGGUAAAUACAUAAUUAAUAUGGGUAUCAAGCAUGGUUAUAGUAAAGAGUUCAUUUACUCGAUCAAGCGUAAAGUUGAGAUCAUGAUGAAACAACCAAUAAACUUAGACAGAAACAAUUUAAAUGUACAAGAUACCUCAGAAGAUAAAUAUGCCGACUUACCUUUCCACCUAACUAAACUCCCAGUUGUAAAAAGAAUGGCGAAAAUAUCUGAAAGAAGAAUAGCCGCUAAAAGAGGCCCUAUGGUUUUCUCCUACCUAAGGAAUGAUAAAGAUCGCCUAGAAGACAAAAGUAAAGCAGG
RNAcentral lists this long non-coding RNA (354 nucleotides) under Androctonus crassicauda. The record is from RNAcentral. Lineage: Eukaryota; Metazoa; Arthropoda; Arachnida; Scorpiones; Buthidae.